RNAcentral lists this transfer RNA (69 nucleotides) under Melecta chinensis. RNAcentral's name for it is "tRNA-Leu". It matches the Rfam family "tRNA". From Rfam's summary of the family: Transfer RNA (tRNA) molecules are approximately 80 nucleotides in length. Their secondary structure includes four short double-helical elements and three loops (D, anti-codon, and T loops). Lineage: Eukaryota; Metazoa; Arthropoda; Insecta; Hymenoptera; Apidae. The record is from RNAcentral.
UUUUAAUAUAGCAAAAUAAGUGCAAUGAAUUUAAGCUUCAUAGAUAAAGAUUAACCCUUUUAUUAAAAA